AUUGAACGCUGGCGGCAGGCCUAACACAUGCAAGUCGAGCGGAUGAAGGGAGCUUGCUCCUGGAUUCAGCGGCGGACGGGUGAGUAAUGCCUAGGAAUCUGCCUGGUAGUGGGGGAUAACGUCCGGGAACGGGCGCUAAUACCGCAUACGUCCUGAGGGAGACAGUGGGGGAUCUUCGGACCUCACGCUAUCAGAUGAGCCUAGGUCGGAUUAGCUAGUUGGUGGGGUAAAGGCCUACCAAGGCGGCGAUCCGUAACUGGUCUGAGAGGAUGAUCAGUCACACUGGAACUGAGCCACGGUCCAGACUCCUACGGGAGGCAGCAGUGGGGAAUAUUGGACAAUGUGCGAAAGCCUGAUCCAGCCAUGCCGCGUGUGUGAAGAAGGUCUUCGGAUUGUAAAGCACUUUAAGUUGGGAGGAAGGGCAGUAAGUUAAUACCUUGCUGUUUUGACGUUACCAACAGAAUAAGCACCGGCUAACUUCGUG
This 484-nucleotide ribosomal RNA is filed under the name uncultured bacterium. Its description in RNAcentral is "partial 16S ribosomal RNA". It matches the Rfam family "Bacterial small subunit ribosomal RNA", at positions 30 to 507 of the family's 1533-position model. The record is from RNAcentral.